RNAcentral lists this ribosomal RNA (520 nucleotides) under uncultured Glomus. RNAcentral describes it as "SSU rRNA". It matches the Rfam family "Eukaryotic small subunit ribosomal RNA", at positions 569 to 1090 of the family's 1831-position model. The record is from RNAcentral. Lineage: Eukaryota; Fungi; Glomeromycota; Glomeromycetes; Glomerales; Glomeraceae.
AGCAGCCGCGGUAAUUCCAGCUCCAAUAGCGUAUAUUAAAGUUGUUGCAGUUAAAAAGCUCGUAGUUGAAUUUCGGGGUCAGUAAGUUGGUCGUGCCACUGGUAUGUACUGGCUUUACUGAUUCCUCCUUCUUGUAGAACCGUAAUGCCAUUAAGUUGGUGUUGCGGGAAAUUUGGACUGUUACUUUGAAAAAAUUAGAGUGUUUAAAGCAAGCUAACGCUUGAAUACAUUAGCAUGGAAUAAUGAAAUAGGACGUUCGAUCUUAUUUUGUUGGUUUCUAGGAUUGACGUAAUGAUUAAUAGGGAUAGUUGGGGGCAUUAGUAUUCAAUUGUCAGAGGUGAAAUUCUUGGAUUUAUUGAAGACUAACUACUGCGAAAGCAUUUGCCAAGGAUGUUUUCAUUAAUCAAGAACGAAAGUUAGGGGAUCGAAGACGAUCAGAUACCGUCGUAGUCUUAACCAUAAACUAUGCCGACUAGGGAUCGGAUGAUGUUAAUUUUUUAAUGACUCAUUCGGCGCCUUA